UGGGGAAUAUUGCGCAAUGGGGGAAACCCUGACGCAGCAACGCCGCGUGCGGGAUGACGGCCUUCGGGUUGUAAACCGCUUUCAGCAGGGAAGAACAUCGACGGUACCUGCAGAAGAAGCCCCGGCUAACUACGUGCCAGCAGCCGCGGUAAUACGUAGGGGGCGAGCGUUAUCCGGAUUCAUUGGGCGUAAAGCGCGCGUAGGCGGGUGCCUAAGCGGGACCUCUAACCUCGGGGCUCAACCCCGAGCCGGGUCCCGAACUGGGCGCCUCGAGUGCGGUAGGGGAGAUCGGAAUUCCCGGUGUAGCGGUGGAAUGCGCAGAUAUCGGGAAGAACACCGAUGGCGAAGGCAGAUCUCUGGGCCGCCACUGACGCUGAGGCGCGAAAGCUAGGGGAGCGAACAGG
This 404-nucleotide ribosomal RNA is filed under the name uncultured bacterium. RNAcentral describes it as "bacterial SSU rRNA". It matches the Rfam family "Bacterial small subunit ribosomal RNA", at positions 355 to 776 of the family's 1533-position model. The record is from RNAcentral. RNAcentral also lists the same sequence under 1 other name.